GGGGCUGUAGCUCAGUCAGGUUAAGCAAGAGCAAGGGCGCGCGUAAAACGGAUCCCGUGGUCGCAGGUUCAAAUCCUGCCGGCCCCGCCA
RNAcentral lists this transfer RNA (90 nucleotides) under bacterium. Its description in RNAcentral is "tRNA-OTHER". It matches the Rfam family "tRNA". From Rfam's summary of the family: Transfer RNA (tRNA) molecules are approximately 80 nucleotides in length. The record is from RNAcentral.